CCCAGGCAAUGGGUCCCGCCCUUUCCACCGGCUCCGUGAUUUCAAACCACAUGUGGUUCUCUGAACAUACCUUGAUGACUUUGCAUGUGUGACUUCAUGCCCGCCUAUGGGAACAAAUGCAAUCUCCUACUUCUACCCUCCCUGAAUUCAAGCCUUUACAAAGACUCUCAUCCAGGUGAAGUCUGCAAAACCCCAUUGCAUAUUUUAUACAUACAGCACUACAGGACUGGCCACACUUCAAGGGCUCAGUGGCCACUGCAUUGGACAGAGCAGGUCUGAAGGAAGACUCUCAUUCUCUUAUUACCUAAAGGAACUAGAGAGCCUUAAAGGAAGGAGAGAACCUCUUAGGAAGUGAGCUCAAAUUUUAUUUAGCCAACUGUUCCAGUUUGAAUGUAUUAUGUCCCCCCAAACGCCAUUAUCUCUGAUGUAAUCUUGUGUGGGCAGACCUAUCAGUGUUAGAUUGUAAUUCUUUGAGUGUUU
Choloepus didactylus (southern two-toed sloth) is the source of this 480-nucleotide long non-coding RNA. RefSeq lists it as uncharacterized. The record is from RefSeq and is a predicted model, not a curated record. The transcript is spliced from 3 exons. NCBI's taxonomy places the organism in Eukaryota, Metazoa, Chordata, Mammalia, Pilosa, Megalonychidae.